GAUGAACGCUGGCGGCGUGCCUAAUACAUGCAAGUCGAGCGAACGGACGAGAAGCUUGCUUCUCUGAUGUUAGCGGCGGACGGGUGAGUAACACGUGGAUAACCUACCUAUAAGACUGGGAUAACUUCGGGAAACCGGAGCUAAUACCGGAUAAUAUUUUGAACCGCAUGGUUCAAAAGUAAAAGACGGUCUUGCUGUCACUUAUAGAUGGAUCCGCGCUGCAUUAGCUAGUUGGUAAGGUAACGGCUUACCAAGGCAACGAUGCAUAGCCGACCUGAGAGGGGGAUGGGCCAAACUGGAACUGAAACCCGGACCAGACCCCCACGGGAGGCAGCAGUGGGGAAUCUUCCGCAAUGGGGGAAAGCCGAACGGAGCAACGCCGGGGGGGGGAUGAAGGGCUUGGGAUCGUAAAACUUUUUUAUUGGGGAAAAAAAAAUGUGUAAGUAACUGUGCACAUCUUGACGGUACCAAAACAGAAAGCCCCGGCUAACUACGU
Molecule: ribosomal RNA, 496 nt
Filed under: uncultured bacterium
Lineage: Bacteria
Description: partial 16S ribosomal RNA
Rfam family: Bacterial small subunit ribosomal RNA
Source: RNAcentral